UGGGGAAUAUUGCACAAUGGGCGAAAGCCUGAUGCAGCAACGCCGCGUGAGUGAUGAAGGCCUUCGGGUUGUAAAGCUCUGUCUUUUGGGACGAUAAUGACGGUACCAAAGGAGGAAGCCACGGCUAACUACGUGCCAGCAGCCGCGGUAAUACGUAGGUGGCAAGCGUUGUCCGGAUUUACUGGGCGUAAAGGAUGCGUAGGCGGAUUUUUAAGUGAGAUGUGAAAACCCUAAGCCUAACUUGGGGACUGCAUUUCAUACUGGAAAUCUAGAGUGCGGGAGAGGAGAAUGGAAUUCCUAGUGUAGCGGUGAAAUGCGUAGAGAUUAGGAAGAACACCAGUGGCGAAGGCGAUUCUCUGGACCGUAACUGACGCUGAGGCAUGAAAGCGUGGGUAGCAAACAGGAUUAGAUACCCUGGUAGUCCACGCCGUAAACGAUGAGUACUAGGUGUAGGAGGUAUCGACCCCUUCUGUGCCGCAGUUAACACAAUAAGUACUCCGCCUGGGAAGUACGAUCGCAAGAUU
RNAcentral lists this ribosomal RNA (524 nucleotides) under uncultured bacterium. RNAcentral describes it as "partial 16S ribosomal RNA". It matches the Rfam family "Bacterial small subunit ribosomal RNA", at positions 355 to 895 of the family's 1533-position model. The record is from RNAcentral.